RNAcentral lists this ribosomal RNA (567 nucleotides) under uncultured bacterium. RNAcentral describes it as "bacterial SSU rRNA". It matches the Rfam family "Bacterial small subunit ribosomal RNA", at positions 338 to 916 of the family's 1533-position model. The record is from RNAcentral.
CCUACGGGAGGCAGCAGUGGGGAAUAUUGCGCAAUGGGCGAAAGCCUGACGCAGCAACGCCGCGUGGGGGAUGAAGGCCUUCGGGUUGUAAACCUCUUUCAGCAGGGAAGAAGCGAAAGUGACGGUACCUGCAGAAGAAGCACCGGCUAACUACGUGCCAGCAGCCGCGGUAAUACGUAGGGUGCAAGCGUUGUCCGGAUUUAUUGGGCGUAAAGAGCUCGUAGGCGGUUAGUCACGUCGGAUGUGAAAUCCCGGAGCUUAACUCCGGGCCUGCAUUCGAUACGGGCUGACUCGAGUGUUGUAGGGGAGACUGGAACUCCUGGUGUAGCGGUGAAAUGCGCAGAUAUCAGGAAGAACACCGGUGGCGAAGGCGGGUCUCUGGGCAACUACUGACGCUGAGGAGCGAAAGCGUGGGGAGCAAACAGGAUUAGAUACCCUGGUAGUCCACGCCGUAAACGGUGGGCGCUAGGUGUGGGGAACAUUCCACGUUCUCUGCGCCGCAGCUAACGCAUUAAGCGCCCCGCCUGGGGAGUACGGCCGCAAGGCAAAACUUAAAGGAAUUGACGG